CCUACGGGUGGCAGCAGUGGGGAAUAUUGCACAAUGGGGGAAACCCUGAUGCAGCGACGCCGCGUGAGUGAAGAAGUAUUUCGGUACGUAAAGCUCUAUCAGCAGGGAAGAAAAAAAGUCCUUUGGACUUUGGACGGUACCUGACUAAGAAGCCCCGGCUAACUACGUGCCAGCAGCCGCGGUAAUACGUAGGGGGCAAGCGUUAUCCGGAUUUACUGGGUGGAAAGGGAGCGUAGACGGCAGCGCAAGUCUGGAGUGAAAUGCCGGGGCCCAACCCCGGAACUGCUUUGGAAACUGUGCAGCUGGAGUGCAGGAGAGGUAAGCGGAAUUCCUGGUGUAGCGGUGAAAUGCGUAGAUAUCAGGAGGAACACCGGCGGCGAAGGCGGCCUGCUGGACCGCGACUGACGUUGAGGCUCGAAAGCGUGGGGAGCGAACAGGAUUAGAUACCCCAGUAGUC
RNAcentral lists this ribosomal RNA (457 nucleotides) under uncultured bacterium. RNAcentral describes it as "partial 16S ribosomal RNA". It matches the Rfam family "Bacterial small subunit ribosomal RNA", at positions 338 to 795 of the family's 1533-position model. The record is from RNAcentral.